UACGGAGGAUGCGAGCGUUAUCCGGAUUUAUUGGGUUUAAAGGGUGCGUAGGCGGAUUUUUAAGUCAGCGGUAAAAUGUCCGGGCUCAACCCGGGCCGGCCGUUGAAACUGGGGAUCUUGAGUGGGCGAGAAGUAUGCGGAAUGCGUGGUGUAGCGGUGAAAUGCAUAGAUAUCACGCAGAACUCCGAUUGCGAAGGCAGCAUACCGGCGCCCGACUGACGCUGAGGCACGAAAGCGUGGGAAUCGAACAGG
Molecule: ribosomal RNA, 252 nt
Filed under: uncultured bacterium
Lineage: Bacteria
Description: partial 16S ribosomal RNA
Rfam family: Bacterial small subunit ribosomal RNA
Source: RNAcentral